AUUUACAAAAAGGAACGAAGCUACCAGCACAAACAAGGAGUAGAAAAGAUCAUGAAUGCUGGAGGUGAUUUUAAUAGAUCUCAGCGCUGGGCUUUUCCCAGAUUCAAGAUAUCAAUGCCAAUGACAAAGAAGAGGCCACAACUUGGUUCCCUGAGGAGGUACCUGUGUAUGAAGAACCAUAUGGAAGGAAAUUACUCAUUUGGUAAUAACUGUAAGAGGACCUAAUGUCAUUCAUUUAACAUUGAGUUUCUCUAGCUUUUGAUGGGGUUUAUGAUCUUACGCCUGAAAAUUGAGUUGAACUGUUUAUUCCUUCCUUCGCAUUCUAUUUUGUUUCCUUGAAAGAGGACUCCAGUUUUCCUAAGCAAGAAGAUAAAGGACAUGAACUGACAGAUCAAGCCUACAUGACCAGUCACACAGCCCAGGGAUAGUUUACAUCAUGGUGCACAAAUGUCUCUGUGCCUACAGUCAGAAAAGAAAAAAAAAAUGUUGUAUAUGGGUUGUAUAUGGUCCCAGUUUGUCUAAUGAAAAAAAAAAUUCCACAUUCUUUGCCACGAUAAAUUAAAAUGAACAUAUUCUCAGAGCAGUAUGCUUAAGUGCAGAAACUUCCUACUGAGGGCAAGAUCCAACAGCUAGCAUUCUGAGACUUAUUAGAACGGCACCUCUUCACGAAAGCACUAAAAUGAAGGCAAAUAUAAGUAAAUCUUGAAUGAAUGCAUCUCAUCCUUGCUCAUUGUUUUGAAACUAAGAACUGGAAAUAUACAUACCCUUCUCAAAACUGAGGACAUAUUAUUUGUCUAGAACUGAGUUCAAAGCCAGGGUUUCUUUUCCUCUUGUAAGGUAAUAGUAAGGAAAUUAAUUCUCUUCCCGGGUCCACAAGGGGGCAUAGUUUCAAAGGCAAGAACUUCCCAGUGCCAUACCUCCUCCCAUGUCUCUAACUUUGUUAAAACUUUGUUUAAACUUUCACAAAUGAGGGAAAAAAUCAAAAGUCAAUCACUCCAGCAGAAGUUAAAAGGAACUCCUUUCAUAGGAAGGGAAAAUUAAAUGGGGCGGGAAUUCUUCUGAGGUUAAAAGUCCUCGUCA
This 1080-nucleotide long non-coding RNA is filed under the name Callithrix jacchus (white-tufted-ear marmoset). RNAcentral describes it as "lncRNA (ENSCJAG00000073939.1)". Lineage: Eukaryota; Metazoa; Chordata; Mammalia; Primates; Cebidae. The record is from RNAcentral.